CCUGUCCUUGCUUACUUGGACC
Molecule: microRNA, 22 nt
Filed under: Petromyzon marinus (sea lamprey)
Lineage: Eukaryota; Metazoa; Chordata; Hyperoartia; Petromyzontiformes; Petromyzontidae
Description: pma-miR-26a-1-3p
Gene: pma-miR-26a-1-3p
Source: miRBase by way of RNAcentral